AGGAAACGUGUGCACACACUUGGUGCCCUGCAUUCCAUAUUCCUUGCUCGAACAGAUGGCUUCAAGAUGCGGUUCAGGAUCCAGAACUGCUAACCACUGAGGCGACCACUGAGGCGACCACUGAGGCUACAACGACACCCCAAGAAACGGAAAGCUCAAAGAAACAAGAACCGCCGAAAGAAGGACCAGCAAAAGAAGAAGGUGAAGGACACGAUGUUUCGCACGCUAUAGACUAUGGAAACGCGGGGUUUUAUCUCGGCUGCCGUGAUGCUAGCGGCAAACCUUACGAAAACGGAAAGGGUUGUGUGCAUUACAUGUAUGGUGCCCGUAGCGAUAAGCAUACAUCGAAGCUUCGUAGCUGCAUAGUUGGAAAGUGCCGGAACGGAAGAUGCAUACAUGAUGGGGG
Dermacentor andersoni is the source of this 406-nucleotide long non-coding RNA. RefSeq lists it as uncharacterized. Lineage: Eukaryota; Metazoa; Arthropoda; Arachnida; Ixodida; Ixodidae. The record is from RefSeq and is a predicted model, not a curated record.